RNAcentral lists this long non-coding RNA (433 nucleotides) under Phoenix dactylifera (date palm). RNAcentral's name for it is "long non-coding RNA (PDAC_LNC002461)". The record is from RNAcentral. Lineage: Eukaryota; Viridiplantae; Streptophyta; Magnoliopsida; Arecales; Arecaceae.
GGAAAGAAGGAAGAAGAGAGGGAGGAGGAUGAGAUGGCCUCUCUCUCUUUCUUGCGCUCUUUCCCUCUUCUAAGCUUUUCUCUUGUUAGUGUUGCUUUCGCUCCAACGUAGAGUUGAUGGAUUUAAUCCAAUCAAUAAUUUUUUUAAGGAAUGCGUCUCUAUUAAGUUUAAUAAAAAUUAGAGAGAAAUGGACACUAACAUCCUAUUCAAUCUAUUCUUUUAAUUUCCCAACGGAAAGUUAGUAUCUUGAUCUUAGAUAUCUCAUUCCAAGUCCCACUUGCCGCCGGUUUUACAAGAAUGUCAAGAAAAAAUUUAUAGAAAGAAAGAAAAAAGUAAUCUUUCUCUAUAAUCGAAAACCAAACAUGUAGAACACAGCUCAAGAUCCGAUCUUUUCUCCCCUAACGUCCAAAACAGUCGCUAAUAUCACCCCUCA